GCUUUGUGAGGUUGGUUAGGACAUAUAUAUUGUUGUUGAAGCUUUUAUUACGCUCAUCCACUCUCUCACCAACUUACCAUGCAUUCAUUGAGCUUUGAACUUGGUCAAAGAGAUUCCUGAACAAUGGUGAGGAAUCUCAUGUGCUUGUUGCUGAUGUGCAUGCAUGCUUUUGCUGAAAAGCUUCAAACAAAAUACUUCCUCAUGCAUGGCCAGAUACGUCCAAGUGAAGGGCACACAUGACUUUUCUCUUAUCCUACGUGGCACUCACUCCCUCACCCUCUCCUUUCUUUUCACUUCUGA
Molecule: long non-coding RNA, 300 nt
Filed under: Phaseolus vulgaris (common bean)
Lineage: Eukaryota; Viridiplantae; Streptophyta; Magnoliopsida; Fabales; Fabaceae
Description: long non-coding RNA (PVUL_LNC000778)
Source: RNAcentral